This 416-nucleotide ribosomal RNA is filed under the name uncultured bacterium. RNAcentral describes it as "bacterial SSU rRNA". It matches the Rfam family "Bacterial small subunit ribosomal RNA", at positions 29 to 477 of the family's 1533-position model. The record is from RNAcentral.
AACGAACGCUGGCGGCAGGCCUAACACAUGCAAGUCGAACGCCGUAGCAAUACGGAGUGGCAGACGGGUGAGUAACGCGUGGGAACAUACCCCUCGGUUCGGAAUAACUCAGGGAAACUUGAGCUAAUACCGGAUACGUCCGAUGUUUUAAUCGACCUUGGAGAAAGAUUUAUCGCCGGAGGAUUGGCCCGCGUCUGAUUAGCUUGUUGGUGAGGUAAUGGCUCACCAAGGCGACGANCAGUAGCUGGUCUGAGAGGAUGAUCAGCCACAUUGGGACUGAGACACGGCCCAAACUCCUACGGGAGGCAGCAGUGGGGAAUAUUGGACAAUGGGCGAAAGCCUGAUCCAGCCAUGCCGCGUGAGUGAUGAAGGCCUUAGGGUUGUAAAGCUCUUUACCCGGGAAGAUAAUGACGGUA